GGACGAACGCUGGCGGCGUGCCUAAUACAUGCAAGUCGAGCGGACAGAAGGGAGCUUGCUCCCGGAUGUUAGCGGCGGACGGGUGAGUAACACGUGGGUAACCUGCCUGUAAGACUGGGAUAACUCCGGGAAACCGGAGCUAAUACCGGAUAGUUCCUUGAACCGCAUGGUUCAAGGAUGAAAGACGGUUUCGGCUGUCACUUACAGAUGGACCCGCGGCGCAUUAGCUAGUUGGUGAGGUAACGGCUCACCAAGGCGACGAUGCGUAGCCGACCUGAGAGGGUGAUCGGCCACACUGGGACUGAGACACGGCCCAGACUCCUACGGGAGGCAGCAGUAGGGAAUCUUCCGCAAUGGACGAAAGUCUGACGGAGCAACGCCGCGUGAGUGAUGAAGGUUUUCGGAUCGUAAAGCUCUGUUGUUAGGGAAGAACAAGUGCAAGAGUAACUGCUUGCACCUUGACGGUACCUAACCAGAAAGCCACGGCUAACUACGUGCCAGCAGCCGCGGUAAUACGUAGGUGGCAAGCGUUGUCCGGAAUUAUUGGGCGUAAAGGGCUCGCAGGCGGUUUCUUAAGUCUGAUGUGAAAGCCCCCGGCUCAACCGGGGAGGGUCAUUGGAAACUGGGAAACUUGAGUGCAGAAGAGGAGAGUGGAAUUCCACGUGUAGCGGUGAAAUGCGUAGAGAUGUGGAGGAACACCAGUGGCGAAGGCGACUCUCUGGUCUGUAACUGACGCUGAGGAGCGAAAGCGUGGGGAGCGAACAGGAUUAGAUACCCUGGUAGUCCACGCCGUAAACGAUGAGUGCUAAGUGUUAGGGGGUUUCCGCCCCUUAGUGCUGCAGCUAACGCAUUAAGCACUCCGCCUGGGGAGUACGGUCGCAAGACUGAAACUCAAAGGAAUUGACGGGGGCCCGCACAAGCGGUGGAGCAUGUGGUUUAAUUCGAAGCAACGCGAAGAACCUUACCAGGUCUUGACAUCCUCUGACAACCCUAGAGAUAGGGCUUUCCCUUCGGGGACAGAGUGACAGGUGGUGCAUGGUUGUCGUCAGCUCGUGUCGUGAGAUGUUGGGUUAAGUCCCGCAACGAGCGCAACCCUUGAUCUUAGUUGCCAGCAUUCAGUUGGGCACUCUAAGGUGACUGCCGGUGACAAACCGGAGGAAGGUGGGGAUGACGUCAAAUCAUCAUGCCCCUUAUGACCUGGGCUACACACGUGCUACAAUGGACAGAACAAAGGGCUGCGAGACCGCAAGGUUUAGCCAAUCCCACAAAUCUGUUCUCAGUUCGGAUCGCAGUCUGCAACUCGACUGCGUGAAGCUGGAAUCGCUAGUAAUCGCGGAUCAGCAUGCCGCGGUGAAUAC
This 1358-nucleotide ribosomal RNA is filed under the name Bacillus stratosphericus. RNAcentral describes it as "bacterial SSU rRNA". It matches the Rfam family "Bacterial small subunit ribosomal RNA", at positions 27 to 1369 of the family's 1533-position model. Lineage: Bacteria; Bacillati; Bacillota; Bacilli; Caryophanales; Bacillaceae. The record is from RNAcentral.